CCCAUCAUAAUUCAUGAUGAAUCUAUUCAAAAUACUACGACAAUAGCGAAAGCAUGCACUGGAAAUAACUUCUAUAUCAAAUGAAUCUCCAACUCAAAACAUGUGUUAAUUGUACAGGACAUAACCUCGUAUUGCAAAGUCAAGGACAGCCUAACAGCAAGAAAUGUGAAAUUUUUUACGUUUACACCAAAAGUAUUGAAACCACAGUUUUAUUCGCUAAAAGGUAUUGAUCCUGAAUCUGACAAAGACUUAUUAACACAGGAAAUCAAUAAAGCAGCUCCAACUAAAAUUAAAGCAAAGAAAUUGUCAUUAUUCGAAACACCAAAAUCUAAAAAAGAAAACCGUAAAAUGCCAAUUUUCUUCAUAGAAUUUUCUCCAAAUUCAGACACUGCAUUCUUAUGUGGCAAACCGCCGUAGUUUACAGUUUAUAGUUUGUAGUUUAUAGCUAAUAAUUCUAGUCUGAAAAAUUAGUUUAAGUGUUUACUUUAAUAAAUUAGUUAAGCCAAAUAUCGCGUUCCUUAUCCAAGCAACCACUUCGCUUAAAAAACAUAAAAUACAUAUGUAACCAAAAAAUUCAAUGAGAAAAACUGAGCAAAAAAGAGCCUCCGCAGUGCAAAAACUUCCAAAGGAUUGGUCACUCAGCUAUUAACUGCUUCUUAAGUUUCAGAUGUGUCAAAUGCAAUAAUACACACAAGGGAGGUGAGUGCAAACUAGGUGAAAACCUACAUAAAGAAGCUGUGUUCUGCAUUAAUAUUAAACAGUUUGGGCACCUUGCCUCUUAUAGAGGAUACCCAAUUCUUAAAUCAAGAGUGCAAGCAAUAAAGAACAAGAUCAAAUCCAGCAAUACCAGAAAUAUGGUAAAGAUCCCAACACCAGCGACAGCAGUCAGAAUCAAAACUCAAGCUCCUUAACUACACAGUCAAGUGUUAAAAUCUAAAACUGAACCUUCACUUGUAGCAAGUACUAACAAUCAGCAAGUAAAAACUCAACCGCAAACAGUUUAUCCCACAGCUACAAACUCAAACAACCAACGUGAGCAAUUUGACGCACAACAACUAACAAGUGCCAUCAACAACUUGAAUGCGCAAUUGGCAUUAAUUAUGCAACAAGUAAAUGACAAUAUGGAGAAAAUUGACAUGCUGCUUCAGAUGUUUAUGGGUGGAAUAGGUUAUGAACACUCCAAAACGAAUGGCCGUCGCAAUGGUCCUUGAACAGAAAGAUCAAUCAGCGUAGAUACACACUGCAUCCAGAGCACUGCAAAAUUUUAAAAUUAUUUCCAUAAAUGUAUAUUCAAUCAUAAAUUUACAUAGAAGGGCAUUCCUUGUCGCCUUCUUCGAGAAGUAUAACACGCAUAUCCUAUGUCUGAACGAAACAAAACUAGAUGCAAACCACAUCCUGCAAUUCAAAAAUUUCGCGAUAAUCAGAAACGACAGAACUAAUGCAACACAAGCAGGAGGAACUGCAAUUUUAGUACGAAAUAAUGUACUAUUCACAAGAAUAGGCUUAAAUUUUAUCAACCAAGGAGUGAUUUAAACCUCAGCAGUAUCCCUGAAAUUAACAAACGACAAAAAGUUCCAUAUUAUCGCAGCUUAUAGUGCGAACAACAACGCAUUCCAAUUUAUCAAAGAAUUUGAGAAAAUAUUUAUCACCCUUAAAUUGCACAAACCAAGUAACUACUAUGUAGUACGUGGUGACUUAAAUGAGAAGCACAGCUUAUGGCUGAGUGAUACGAAUAAUGCAAGAGGAAAUAAAUUGGCAAAACGGCUAACUGAAUAUGACCUAAUAUAUAAAACCAGGCUACUAUUCCCAAAAGAAGCUACGUUUCCACGAGCCAACCCCACGCUUCAUAUCGCCUGCACGUACUCAAGGUUCUUCACUGGCAAUUUUAUCAAUCCCUACUUCCUGCAAACUUUACUGUACGACAGUGACCACUGGGCAAUUCAAUUCAUCUUAAACCACAAUGACAUUAUGUUCGACAACACAUUACUCCAGCAGCCGGAACUUCUACUUCUUUGCAAAACCAACUGGAAAGGCUUCGCGAAAAAUCUUUGCUCCUCCAAGAUCUGGAGGAAAAUCUGGCAAUCAAAGCCAUUGAUAAAUUAGUAGGCGAAUUAGAACAGUCAAUAAUCUACUACCGCAGCAACAAUUCGGUUUCCGACUGAGUCGUUCAACGGUGCAUGCCAUUAAUAAAUUAGCAACGGACAUAUGCUGGAGCCUCAACGAAAGCAAACCAGUUUGGGACCAGUCACCCUCGAUAAAAUACAGUGCUUGAAGGACGUUAGACGCCUUCCCCUCAACUCUACGAAAGUGUGCAUUAAAGGUAAGUCUUAAAUCCAAAACCACACCGAGAUAUAAGAUGUUAUCUUUAAUUACAAUUUUAGUGCCCUUUAUAUUUAUCUCUAAGCUGUGGUUAUUUUUUCGGCUAUUACAGGACAAAACCGUUUCAGUCUUAUGCUGCGCAAUAAAUAGCCCUUUAUUUUCAAGCUCCCUUAUUAGUUUUUUGAGUAUUCUAUUCAUUUUGUGCACCAUUUUCCUAGGGCUACUUCCCCUCACGAGGAGCAGAGUGCCAUCGGCGUAACAUACGGGUAUGGCUCCCAAAUCUUCAAUAAAAUUUAGUAUACUGUUAUACGCUAUAUUCCACAUUAGGGGCCCUAGAAUGGAGCCCUGCGGAACCCCACGGCGACGACUUAGCCCUAGGGAAUUUUUUCAAAAGGCGGUACAAAUGUACCCCUUGAGGUACAAACGAAAGUGAAGGUGGUACAAACCCCUACAGGCGAAGAGGAAGGAGCACCACCAAGAAGAUUUAAAAAAUUCCAAAAUUGACGAAGGUACCUCUAGGGAAUUCUUUCAAAAGCCGGUACAAACAAACUCUUUGAAGUACAAACGAAAGUAAAGGUGGUACAAACCUCUACAAACAUUCCUUUUUAUGAUGGCGUUGAAAGAAAUAAAACAUGUUCAAGUGAGGUGCUGGGGUAUUUUCACCCUCUUUUCACCCCUUAGGGUACAAACGAAAAGAAAUAUGGUACAAACGGGUACAAACGAAGCCGAAUACGAUACAAUUGAAAGAAUUAAAAUUUUUGAAAGUCGGGUGCCAGGUUCAGGUAGAUCUCGAGAGAAGAAUGUUUUUCCAAGGUCUGUAGAAGAAUGCCCUUUUUCCGUUCCGCGAGGUUUCCUAGUCCCCGCGAAAUUUAAGGCCCCAGGGUUAUUUUACGGUCCGGACGUCACAGCGUCAGGCCUCUAUCCCGUGGUGGUCAUCGUAGGACGGCCAUGUGCCCGUUAUCUCUGCUUUAUUGGGGUGGGUCACUAGGAAUUUUCUAACACGAUACAUAAAUUCUUACUGCUAGUACCCGAUAUUACAACAAACAAAAAAAACUAUAUAUAUAUA
RNAcentral lists this unclassified non-coding RNA (3385 nucleotides) under Megachile rotundata (alfalfa leafcutting bee). Its description in RNAcentral is "uncharacterized LOC105664020, transcript variant X3". The record is from RNAcentral. Lineage: Eukaryota; Metazoa; Arthropoda; Insecta; Hymenoptera; Megachilidae.